CGANAUCCAAAUGGUUGUUGGGAANUCACNUUCUCCAGUANCCGAAGCUACACGCNNGAGGUUGANCCGCCAUGGGGAGUACNGNCCGCCNAGGUGGAAACUCAACAGNAAUGGACGGGGACCCGCACANACGGUGGAUGAUGUGGGUUUAAUUCGAUGCAACGCGAAAAACCUUACCCACCCUUUGACAUGUACGGAAUUUGCCCAGAGAUGGNUUAGUGCUCGAAAGAGAACCGUAACACAGGUGCUGCAUGGCUGUCGUCAGCUCGUGUCGUGAGAUGUUGGGUUAAGUCCCGCAACGAGCGCAACCCUUGUCAUUAGUUGNUACAUUUAGUUGGGCACUCUAGUGAGACUGNCCGGUGACAAACCGGAGGAAGGUGGGGAUGACGUCAAGUCCUCAUGGCCCUUAUAGGUGGGGCUACACACGUCAUACAAUGGCUGGUACAAAGGGUUGCCAACCCGCGAGGGGGAGCUAAUCCCAUAAAACCAGUCGUAGUCCGGAUCGCAGUCUGCAACUCGACUGCGUGAAGUCGGAAUCGCUAGUAAUCGUGGAUCAGAAUGUCCACGGUGAAUACGUUCCCGGGUCUUGUACACACCGCCCGUCACACCAUGGGAGCGGGUUCUGCCAGAAGUAGUUAGCCUAACCGCCAAGGAGGGCGAUUACCACGGUCAGGGUUCGUGACUGGGGUGAAGUCGUAACCAAGGUACC
RNAcentral lists this ribosomal RNA (709 nucleotides) under uncultured bacterium. Its description in RNAcentral is "partial 16S ribosomal RNA". It matches the Rfam family "Bacterial small subunit ribosomal RNA", at positions 801 to 1500 of the family's 1533-position model. The record is from RNAcentral.